Molecule: ribosomal RNA, 479 nt
Filed under: uncultured bacterium
Lineage: Bacteria
Description: bacterial SSU rRNA
Rfam family: Bacterial small subunit ribosomal RNA
Source: RNAcentral
AUGCAGUCGACGGAACGACAGGAGCUUGCUCCUGGGCGUCGAGUGGCGGACGGGUGAGUAAUGCAUAGGAAUCUGCCCAUGUAGUGGGGGACAACCUGGGGAAACUCAGGCUAAUACCGCAUGAGCCCUUCGGGGGAAAGCAGGGGAUCUUCGGACCUUGCGCUAUUGGAUGAGCCUAUGUCUGAUUAGCUUGUUGGUGGGGUAACGGCCUACCAAGGCGACGAUCAGUAGCUGGUCUGAGAGGACGAUCAGCCACACUGGGACUGAGACACGGCCCAGACUCCUACGGGAGGCAGCAGUGGGGAAUAUUGGACAAUGGGCGAAAGCCUGAUCCAGCAAUGCCGCGUGUGUGAAGAAGGCCUGCGGGUUGUAAAGCACUUUCAAUUGGGAAGAAAAGCGAAGGGCUAAUACCCCUUUGUCUUGACGUUACCUUUAGAAGAAGCACCGGCUAACUCCGUGCCAGCAGCCGCGGUAAUACG